Molecule: RNase P RNA, 304 nt
Filed under: uncultured Butyricicoccus sp.
Lineage: Bacteria; Bacillati; Bacillota; Clostridia; Eubacteriales; Butyricicoccaceae
Description: Bacterial RNase P class A
Rfam family: Bacterial RNase P class A
About the family: Ribonuclease P (RNase P) is a ubiquitous endoribonuclease, found in archaea, bacteria and eukarya as well as chloroplasts and mitochondria. Its best characterised activity is the generation of mature 5'-ends of tRNAs by cleaving the 5'-leader elements of precursor-tRNAs.
Source: RNAcentral
CCUUUUGUGAGGAAAGUCCGGGCUGCGCAGGGCAGGAUAACGGAUAACGUCCGCCGGAGGCGACUCCAGGAAAAGUGCAACAGAGAUAUACCGCCGUGGAUUCCCGCGGUAAGGGUGGAAAGGCGAGGUAAGAGCUCACCAGUCCUGCAGGUAACUGUGGGACUCUGUAAACUCUAUCCGCAGCAACACCGUGGAGGGACAUUGAGGAUUUGCCCGAUCCGUCCCGAGGAGGUGGCUUGAGGCGUGUGGUAACAUGCGUCCCAGAUAGAUGGCUGUUCCAAUGACAGAACCCGGCUUACUCUUU